UAACUGGAGGACCGAACCGACUAAUGUUGAAAAAUUAGCGGAUGACCUGUGGCUGGGGGUGAAAGGCCAAUCAAACCGGGAGAUAGCUGGUUCUCACCGAAAGCUAUUUAGGUAGCGCCUCGUGAAUUCAUCUCCGGGGGUAGAGCACUGUUUCGGCUAGGGGGCCAUCCCGGCUUACCAACCCGAUGCAAACUGCGAAUACCGGAGAAUGUUAUCACGGGAGACACACGGCGGGUGCUAACGUCCGUCGUGAAGAGGGAAACAACCCAGACCGCCAGCUAAGGUCCCAAAGUCAUGGUUAAGUGGGAAACGAUGUGGGAAGGCCCAGACAGCCAGGAUGUUGGCUUAGAAGCAGCCAUCAUUUAAAGAAAGCGUAAUAGCUCACUGGUCGAGUCGGCCUGCGCGGAAGAUGUAACGGGGCUAAACCAUGCACCGAAGCUGCGGCAGCGACACUGUGUGUUGUUGGGUAGGGGAGCGUUCUGUAAGCCUGUGAAGGUGUGUCGUGAGGCAUGCUGGAGGUAUCAGAAGUGCGAAUGCUGACAUAAGUAACGAUAAAGCGGGUGAAAAGCCCGCUCGCCGGAAGACCAAGGGUUCCUGUCCAACGUUAAUCGGGGCAGGGUGAGUCGACCCCUAAGGCGAGGCCGAAAGGCGUAGUCGAUGGGAAACGGGUUAAUAUUCCCGUACUUGGUGUUACUGCGAAGGGGGGACGGAGAAGGCUAUGUUGGCCGGGCGACGGUUGUCCCGGUUUAAGCGUGUAGGUGUGUGUUCCAGGUAAAUCCGGUUCACUUUAACACUGAGGCGUGAUGA
This 807-nucleotide ribosomal RNA is filed under the name Salmonella enterica. RNAcentral's name for it is "partial 23S ribosomal RNA". It matches the Rfam family "Bacterial large subunit ribosomal RNA", at positions 763 to 1569 of the family's 2925-position model. Lineage: Bacteria; Pseudomonadati; Pseudomonadota; Gammaproteobacteria; Enterobacterales; Enterobacteriaceae. The record is from RNAcentral.